CCUAACACAUGCAAGUCGAACGAAGUAGCAAUACUUAGUGGCAGACGGGUGAGUAACAUGUAGGUAUCUACCCUAUGGCCUGGAAUAACACGAGGAAACUUGUGCUAAUACUGGAUAAGUCUUUACGGAGAUAGCUUUAUGCACCAUUGGAUGAGCCUGCACUUGAUUAGUUUGUUGGUGGGGUAAUGGCCUACCAAGACUGUGAUCAGUAGCUGAUUUGAGAGGAUGAUCAGCCACAUUGGGACUGAGACACGGCCCAAACUCCUACGGGAGGCAGCAGUGGGGAAUCUUGCACAAUGGAGGAAACUCUGAUGCAGCGAUGCCGCGUGAGUGAAGAAGGCCUUUGGGUUGUAAAGCUCUUUCGUCGGGGAAGAAAAUGACUGUACCCGAAUAAGAAGGUCCGGCUAACUUCGUGCCAGCAGCCGCGGUAAUACGAAGGGACCUAGCGUAGUUCGGAAUUACUGGGCUUAAAGAGUUCGUAGGUGGUUGAAAAAGUUGGUGGUGAAAUCCCAGAGCUUAACUCUGGAACUGCCAUCAGAACUUUUUAGCUAGAGUAUGAUAGAGGAAAGCAGAAUUUCUAGUGUAGAGGUGAAAUUCGUAGAUAUUAGAAAGAAUACCAAUUGCGAAGGCAGCUUUCUGGAUCAUUACUGACACUGAGGAACGAA
RNAcentral lists this ribosomal RNA (665 nucleotides) under uncultured marine bacterium. RNAcentral describes it as "bacterial SSU rRNA". It matches the Rfam family "Bacterial small subunit ribosomal RNA", at positions 47 to 757 of the family's 1533-position model. The record is from RNAcentral.